Molecule: long non-coding RNA, 4054 nt
Organism: Monodelphis domestica (gray short-tailed opossum)
Lineage: Eukaryota; Metazoa; Chordata; Mammalia; Didelphimorphia; Didelphidae
Source: RefSeq, a predicted model, not a curated record
ACUACAAACACUGAAACAGCACCCUCUCUAAAUAUGUUUUCUAUUGAAGUCUUGUGAACUGUAUUGAGCUUCAUCCACCUUAAAAAAUGAAGGAGGAUAUAGAAAUCCCACCUUAUUUUAGUCAUAGAUGUGGUUCUUUAUAGAGAUUGGUCAGUUCUACCGUCGAUCUAAAAUUAGAUCUACUGCAUUAAGAAGGGGGGCCAGGAUGAGGAAAGAUUACAGACUCAUCUCUACUGCUGAUGUGAACAAAUAAAAGAAUAUGGCUUAACUGAAGACAUUCAAAAAAUUUUUGUUUUGGUUAAGUCUCACAUCAAAGAGUUGCCAGAUGUUUAUCUGGAAGCUUUCAAGAGAUGGAGAAAAAUGACGAACAUGCAGGCUAUUCAGUCACAACUUCAAUGAAUACUGUGGAUGAUCUCAGGAAAAAUUGGCAGGGUUGGAUUGAAAGCCAUAAUGAUUAUCAAAAAUGUAAUCCAUUCAGUAAUGAGACCAGGAUCAUACCUGUCCAGAAAGGAGACCCCAUUUAUGGGAGACCUCCUGAAGGUUCUAAAACAGAGCAAAGAGGAAAAGAUGCUCAUGUCCAUGUAGAGAAAGAGCUGGAAGAACUCUGCUGGCUCAUGAAGAACAAUGGAGAAAAAGGAGAAGAUGGAAGCAGGAAAAUGACAUUUAAACAACUCUUUGAAAGGUAUGCAACCAUUUCCAAUAAGCUUGUGGGACUUCUUCUAAGGGCCAGAAAGCAUGGAAUGGUUCAUUUUGAAGGAGAAAUGCUUUGGCAAGGACGAGAUGAUGGCGUAGUUAUAACAUUACUCAAAUAAAAUGGUUUUGUGUAUAUUCUUCUGUUCCACUCAGAUAUCUAGAACUUCCUUUGAUGUUCUAAUCCACUCAAUUAAUGCUUCAAGCUCCCAUUGUCUUUGAACUUCUUCCCAUAAUCAUCUACAUUAAUCACAUGAUAUAUUACAUGAUGAUAAGAGAAAAUUUAUUUUAAAAUAUAGGAUAAAAUCAGGAAAAUACUGUUAUUUAAAAUGUUGCUGCUACUCAAUCUGGUACAUCCUCUAGAGUAGUGAUGGUGAAACUUUUAGAGACUAAGUGUACAAACUCUACCCCCACACCACAUGUGAGCCACUUUUUUACCCAGACAGAGGAGGGAAGAAGAGCUCCCAUUAGGCUGCUGGGCAGAGGAGUGGUUGUGUAAGAAAUGCCCUCAGGCACACAUGGAGAGGAAAAAGGAAGCAGCUCCCUCCAGCACACUUUGGUAUAUAUGAGAAUUCUAAGAUAAUACUGUGGUCACAGAUGUAAAAAUAUUAAAGAUCAAAUCAAAUUGACUUUUUAACAGUUUUAGUCACAAAAAAGUGGAAAGAGUGAAAGUAGAGAAAUGUAAAAGAGGGUAGAAAAGAAGUCUAGCCUAUCACCCUAAAUGUUGCUCUGGUCCUCAGCUAAACCCAGGCAGGGCUCAUUAACCCCUAGCCAGAGGACUCAGUGGUGAAUUAAACAAGGGUUCAACCCAUGAGACCUCCUCUAAGAAGGGGAGGCCUUUCCAGAACUAAACUCUCUAGAAGCCAAGAAAGGAGGGGCAGCUUCUCAUUCACUCAAGCCGAAGCUCCAAAGCAGAAGAUCCAGGAGCAGCCUUACCAGAAGUAGUCCAAGAGCCAGAGUCCCAGGUCAAAGUCACAAGUCAUAGCUCCAAGCCACGGUCCUAGUCCAAAAUCCUCCAAGCCAAUAAUUCAGGCUGAAGAGCCCCUUGGACAGGAAGUUCAUGCCUUUUAUAGUCCUUUUUCUACAUCACUUCCUUCAACUUCUUUCCAAAACUUCCACCUUGGUGAUACUCUGCUGCAUGCCCAUGGAGGCUACUCUGGUCUCAGAGCAAUAUGGCAUCAAGGCAGAUGUCCAGAUAGACUGUCUUUACAUGUAAAUCAGUAAAUGUUUCUAUGUUUUAUUCACUUUUUAAAAAUUGGAAGUACCAAGCACAUACAUUUUAAAGAAAUAUAGACACUAAAUUGUCAAAUGAAACAAAAAAAAAAUGGGAGUUCUUGGGUCUGAGCUGAAUUUAUUGUUUUUUGUUAAUAUUUACCUCACAAUAUUUUGUUCUCAUUUAGAAAAUGAAAUGUUCAGCUUGCAAAAUUUGGAACUUCAAUGAUGAUGUAUAGUAAUCAGAAAUUAUACAUUUCUCUUAAAUCUGUUAAACAUUUUUGGACACAUUUUGGAAGGCACCAAGGGAUCCCCAAGGUCUAAUUUUUAAUGAAAAUACUAAGUGAUAAAUUUUACUUAGCUAAAAUUCAUAAUGAGAAGUAGUUUAGUUUAGCACAAUGGUGUUGAACUCAAAUAUAAAUGGAUCCAUACAGGUUGCAUAAUGAUUUAGAAAACCACAAAUUAAAAUUAUUUGUUUUAUUUUAUUUUAAUUUAUUAAACAUUUCCCAAUUACAUUUUAAUCUGGUUUUGGCUUUGAGGGUUUUGCUGGCUCACGGGGCCAGUGGACUUUAAGUUCAACACCUCUGAAGUACAUGCAGUCAGUCUCAGAGUCAGGAAGACCUGGGUUCAAUUCUCACAUCUGUUUUUGUGACCCAGGGCAAGUCAUUUAGCCUCUGAGUAUCUCCAGAAAUGUAGUGAUAAGUCACAGAGCAGAUGGCAAUCUAUAUUGGUGAAGAGAGUUUAAUCAUUGGAAGUUCCCUAUAACAAUGAAAGCACAGUACUAAUGAAAUCUCACAGAUGACUGAGAGGUACUGGUCACUUUUGUAGAAGUUGAAGAAUGACAGGUGGAAAGCAUGAGGGCUCCAUUGGUAUCUACUUUAUGUCAAGAGAAAGUGAUGAAACUAUCAGCAUUUUGGCUGAACCUCCUGUGGCCAACUCAUCAUGGUAUCUUAGAAAUAGAGAUGGAAGGGACUUCGGAAACCAUUUAGUCCUUCAUAUUACAGAUGAGAAAACCAAAAUCUAGGAAAGGUAAGUGAUUUGUCUAAGGUGACACAGGUAAGGGUCAGAGGUAAAAUUUAAAUUCAGGUCCUCUGAUUCCUAAGUAACCCGUACAUGGAUAGGUUGCUGUCUACAUCUCUAGAGUGAGUAUCCAUAUCAAUGAAAUCCAGUUGAGCAUCUGAGAAUUAGCCUUGGUGUUGCAGAACAUGCUGAGGUGAACUACCCAUACUACCUACCUGCUGCACCUACCUCACAAGAUUAGUAUAAAGGUCAAAAAACCUAAUGUAUGUGAAAUAUGCAUAACUUUAUGCAAAUAUAAGUAAUUUUUGCUAGUCAUCCUCUCUACUCCUUUGUUAACCAUGGGGGAAAGUGCCUUUGCAAAUUGUCAUAAGCUUCUUCAUUACUAAGACACUGAACUGUCACAGAAUUCUGGUAACAAAAUGUCAAGCAAUGGCUUAGUAAGACACAGGGUCAUAUCAAGAUCUGAAUAAAUUUUAUAUGUCCUUUCCUCAUAGAAUGGAAAAAAAAAUCUGGUUUCAUAGUUACAAAGAAGAGAAUGCUGGCAGUUGCGGGGGAAUAAAACAUUCCUUUUUCUUGGCUAAGAUGCUCUUGCGUCAUGCUCUUUUAUUAUGAAAGCUAUUCAGGAUCAUUCUCUUCCUAACUUUUGCUGUAUGCUGCUAGAUCACUUUCCAAACUGAUUCCACUAAUUUCCAUUUCUACUAGCAAACAAUAAAUGAGCCUAUUUACCCAUAAUCUCAUCAGCAUUGAAUUUCCUUAUUUUUUGUUACUUCAAUCAAUUUGAUGGGUACAUAGUAAUGUCAAAAUUGUUUUAAUUUGCAUCAGUUUGAUAGGUAGAGUAUUUGAGGCUUAAUAAUUUGUGCUUCUUUUUAAAUUGGUCUUAUUCUUUGACCAUUUGAUUCCUAUUUGACUAGGAGUCAACUUAAUUUAUUUUUUUAUAAGUUCCUUCUAUCAUAUUACCUGGAAAGGUCAUUGCAAUUGGUGGCUCACCAUACAAAAAGUUACUUCAAAAGCCACCACUCUCUUAUGUGUGAAUGAGGGCAAAUAUUAUCUUUCUUGUGUAUUUGUAUCCUUAGUGCUUAACAAUGCCUGACAUUUAACAGACACUUAAUAAAUGCCUUUUCAAUCAUUCAAA